AUUGUUAGUUGCCAUCAUUCAGUUUGGGCACUCUAGCGAGACUGCCGGUAAUAACCGGAGAAGUGGGAUGACGUCAAAUCAUCAUGCCCCUUAUGACCUGGGCUACACACGUGCUACAAUGGUUGGUACAACGAGUUGCGAGUCGGUGACGGCGAGCUAAUCUCUUAAAGCCAAUCUCAGUUCGGAUUGUAGGCUGCAACUCGCCUACAUGAAGUCGGAAUCGCUAGUAAUCGCGGAUCAGCACGCCGCGGUGAAUACGUUCCCGGGCCUU
This 271-nucleotide ribosomal RNA is filed under the name uncultured Streptococcus sp. RNAcentral describes it as "partial 16S ribosomal RNA". It matches the Rfam family "Bacterial small subunit ribosomal RNA", at positions 1107 to 1382 of the family's 1533-position model. The record is from RNAcentral. Lineage: Bacteria; Bacillati; Bacillota; Bacilli; Lactobacillales; Streptococcaceae.